AGCUCCAAUAGCGUAUAUUAAAGUUGUUGCAGUUAAAAAGCUCGUAGUUGGAUUUGUGGCUGUCUCGGGCGGCUUGGCACUUAGUGCCAUUGCUUGCCUGAGUCGCCAUCCUUGGGUGGAGCCUGCGUGGCAUUAGGUUGUCGUGCAGGGGAUGCCCAUCGUUUACUGUGAAAAAAUUAGAGUGUUCAAAGCAGGCUUAUGCCGUUGAAUAUAUUAGCAUGGAAUAAUAAGAUAGGACCUUGGUACUAUUUUGUUGGUUUGCGCACCAAGGUAAUGAUUAACAGGGACAGUUGGGGGUAUUCGUAUUCCAUUGUCAGAGGUGAAAUUCUUGGAUUUUUGGAAGACGAACUACUGCGAAAGCAUUUACCAAGGAUGUUUUCAUUAAUCAAGAACGAAAGUA
This 400-nucleotide ribosomal RNA is filed under the name phytoplankton environmental sample. RNAcentral describes it as "partial small subunit ribosomal RNA". It matches the Rfam family "Eukaryotic small subunit ribosomal RNA", at positions 587 to 991 of the family's 1831-position model. The record is from RNAcentral.